This 88-nucleotide antisense RNA is filed under the name Escherichia coli. RNAcentral describes it as "ArsR-gov region gene B". It matches the Rfam family "ArsR-gov region gene B". From Rfam's summary of the family: arsR-gov region gene B is transcribed opposite of dinQ (translates into a toxic single transmembrane peptide) with 30 complimentary nucleotides. Lineage: Bacteria; Pseudomonadati; Pseudomonadota; Gammaproteobacteria; Enterobacterales; Enterobacteriaceae. The record is from RNAcentral.
UUAGUUGAAAAGAGAUUUCCUCCGGUCAGGGCCACCCACUCUGUAACGGAACAGUAAAAAAACCGACCUCACCAGUCGGUUUUUUUAC